This 484-nucleotide ribosomal RNA is filed under the name uncultured bacterium. RNAcentral's name for it is "bacterial SSU rRNA". It matches the Rfam family "Bacterial small subunit ribosomal RNA", at positions 30 to 507 of the family's 1533-position model. The record is from RNAcentral.
AUUGAACGCUGGCGGCAUGCCUUACACAUGCAAGUCGAACGGCAGCACGGGUGCUUGCACCUGGUGGCGAGUGGCGAACGGGUGAGUAAUAUAUCGGAACGUACCUUAUUGUGGGGGAUAACGCAGCGAAAGCUGUGCUAAUACCGCAUAAUCCCUAAGGGGGAAAGCGGGGGACCGUAAGGCCUCGCGCAAUUAGAGCGGCCGAUACCUGAUUAGCUUGUUGGUGGGGUAAAAGCCCACCAAGGCGACGAUCAGUAGCUGGUCUGAGAGGAUGAUCAGCCACACUGGGACUGAGACACGGCCCAGACUCCUACGGGAGGCAGCAGUGGGGAAUUUUGGACAAUGGGCGCAAGCCUGAUCCAGCAAUGCCGCGUGCAGGAAGAAGGCCUUCGGGUUGUAAACUGCUUUGUACGAACGAAAAGGCUCUGGUUAAUACCUGGGGCUCAUGACGGUACCGUAAGAAUAAGCACCGGCUAACUACGUG